Molecule: transfer RNA, 73 nt
Filed under: Vicugna pacos (alpaca)
Lineage: Eukaryota; Metazoa; Chordata; Mammalia; Artiodactyla; Camelidae
Description: tRNA-Leu (AAG) (tRNA-Leu-AAG-6-1)
Rfam family: tRNA
About the family: Transfer RNA (tRNA) molecules are approximately 80 nucleotides in length. Their secondary structure includes four short double-helical elements and three loops (D, anti-codon, and T loops). Further hydrogen bonds mediate the characteristic L-shaped molecular structure. tRNAs have two regions of fundamental functional importance: the anti-codon, which is responsible for specific mRNA codon recognition, and the 3' end, to which the tRNAs corresponding amino acid is attached (by aminoacyl-tRNA synthetases). tRNAs cope with the degeneracy of the genetic code in two manners: having more than one tRNA (with a specific anti-codon) for a particular amino acid; and 'wobble' base-pairing, i.e. permitting non-standard base-pairing at the 3rd anti-codon position.
Source: RNAcentral
GGAGGGUAUAGCUCAGUGGUAGAGUGUGUGCUUAAGGUGCACGAGAUCCUGGGUUCAAUUCCCAGCACCUCCA